This 293-nucleotide ribosomal RNA is filed under the name uncultured eukaryote. RNAcentral describes it as "partial 18S ribosomal RNA". It matches the Rfam family "Eukaryotic small subunit ribosomal RNA", at positions 6 to 265 of the family's 1831-position model. The record is from RNAcentral.
GGUUGAUCCUGCCAGUAGCCAUAUGCUUGUUUAAAGGAUUAAGCCAUGCAUGUGUAAGUAUUAAUGAGAGUUUAAUAGUGAAACUGCGAAUGGCUCAAUAAAACAGUUAUAGUUUAUUCGAUGAUAUCGAGGUUAUUUGGGAAUAACCGCAGUAAUUCUGGGGCUAAUACAUGCUUAAAAGGGAAAUAUUUCAUACUUAAAAAAAAGGAUAUUUUACCUGUAUUUAUUAGACUUGAAAAUCGGAAAAAGUAGAAAUACUUUUUUAUACUGUAGUUGAAUCAUAAUAACUCAAA